This 253-nucleotide ribosomal RNA is filed under the name uncultured bacterium. Its description in RNAcentral is "partial 16S ribosomal RNA". It matches the Rfam family "Bacterial small subunit ribosomal RNA", at positions 524 to 776 of the family's 1533-position model. The record is from RNAcentral.
GACGUAGGAGGCGAGCGUUGUCCGGAUUCAUUGGGCGUAAAGAGCGCGCAGGCGGCUUGGUAAGUCGGAUGUGAAAUCCCGAGGCUCAACCUCGGGUCUGCAGUCGAUACGGGCAAACUAGAGUAUUGCAGGGGAGACUGGAAUUCCUGGUGUAGCGGUGAAAUGCGCAGAUAUCAGGAGGAACACCGGUGGCGAAGGCGGGUCUCUGGGCAAUAACUGACGCUGAGGAGCGAAAGCGUGGGGAGCGAACAGG